UGGUUUGAAAUGAAUUAAGAUUUGUUUUGAUGUAUGUUUUUAAUAAAUAGCUAUAUUAUUUAAUGCUUUCUUUAUUCAAUAAAAGAGAAACAAUACAACAAAUUAAUACAUAUGGCAACUCUUUGAAUACAACCUAAUGGUUUUGAUUAUUUAACCAAUCCAUAUUGCUAGGUCCAUCGUCAGGGAAAAGCUUUCUUCUCAUAACAUCCCUUGUUUUAGCUUCCAAUAGGACUUUGUUUCAGGAGACAUAUGGCUCAUAUCCAUGGCCAUGAUUUCAUCUCUCUGUCCUCCAUGUCUUAUUCUUG
This 305-nucleotide long non-coding RNA is filed under the name Prunus persica (peach). RNAcentral's name for it is "long non-coding RNA (PPER_LNC002338)". Lineage: Eukaryota; Viridiplantae; Streptophyta; Magnoliopsida; Rosales; Rosaceae. The record is from RNAcentral.